UACGUAGGGGGCUAGCGUUGUCCGGAAUCAUUGGGCGUAAAGAGCGUGUAGGCGGUCCGGUAAGUCCGUUGUGAAAGUCAGGGGCUCAACCCUUGAAUGCCGGCGGAUACUGUCGGGCUAGAGUCCGGAAGAGGCGAGUGGAAUUCCCGGUGUAGCGGUGAAAUGCGCAGAUAUCGGGAGGAACACCGGUGUCGAAGGCGGGUCUCUGGGCCGUUACUGACGCUGAGGAGCGAAAGCAUGGGGAGCGAACAGG
This 253-nucleotide ribosomal RNA is filed under the name uncultured bacterium. RNAcentral describes it as "partial 16S ribosomal RNA". It matches the Rfam family "Bacterial small subunit ribosomal RNA", at positions 524 to 776 of the family's 1533-position model. The record is from RNAcentral.